RNAcentral lists this unclassified non-coding RNA (159 nucleotides) under uncultured fungus. RNAcentral describes it as "sequence contains ITS1, 5.8S rRNA gene". The record is from RNAcentral. Lineage: Eukaryota; Fungi.
GAAAUCACCGGCUUAGCCGGUAUAAAAUUCUAUCCACCUUGUGUGCAAACAAUGGAAAAGAGAGAAAAUUGGGUACUCUGUAUCCAACUUCUCUAAAAUUUUUUAUAAACUCCAUCAAAUUUUGAAUGAAAACAAUUUUUUUAAUAAAAAAAUAUUAUA